AGAAACAAUGGCAGGCAGAAACCAAGUUGAAAAAAAUCAAACCAAGGACCUUAAGUGUGCAACACAUUUGUUAAGUGAGAAAUUCAGAAACAUGAGUGAGGAGAAGAAAACAAUAGUUAGGGAUUUGGGAUUUGGCAGCCUGAUGCACAUCCCGCCGCUGAUGAUGCAUCACCAAAUAUUAAGGGAGUUGGCUAACUUCUUCAAACUAGGGAAAAACAGACUGGAAACUGGCUACGGUUCAUUUAAAAUAAGACCAAAAACAAUAGGGGCUGCACUUGGCAUCAAUGCAUCAGGUAACUCGCUACAAACAUAAGUGUAUAUGAGCCAUAUUCAGGUGUGUUUCAAUUGAUUUUGGGUGUAUUUGAACUGAUUUUCAUACCAUGUUGUUUUCCUUUUUGUAGGAGAUCUAUUUUCUCAGAAAGUCAAUUAUAAGGAUCUUUCUGAAGAUGACAAACAAAUUUUUAGAAGAUUCCAGGGUAACGCUCAAAAAUCUUACAGAUGAGAUGAUGGCUAUUGCCGUUGAUAAUGAACAGGGGCGCCUCAUGUUUAAGAGGAUUUUCAUCCUCUAUAUACAGAUGACAUUCCUGUUACCAACAACAAUAAACAAAAUCUCACAUGUGCACCUGGCCCUAAUUUUCAAGAUGGACACAAUAACAGAGUGAAACUGGGGAGGACAUGUUUUGAAUUUUAUCAUCAAGGGCAUAACAAAUUAGAAGGUGAAAAAGAAAAAGGCAAUUGAUGACUGCCUCUUUGCCCUGAUGAUAAUUUACUUUCAUUUAUCAAAAAAUAAAGACAAGAAUAGGGCAGAAAGACCUCAAGAACCCUGGAUUGCCAACUGGAGUAAGGAGCAGUUGGUUGAAAGAAUGAGGGCAGAAAUGGAGGAUCAUAUGGGGAUUGUAAAGAUGGCCGACCCAAAGGAAAAAAUGAAAGAAAUAAAGAAAAAAGAAAAAAAAAAGAAACCAAAAAAAGGAAGGCAAGUUCAACAUCAUCAUCUGAGACUGAAACAACUGAAAGUGACCAUUCUACCUCUGAGUCUGAGACUAAGGAAGACUCAGAGGAUUCAACAAGAAAACAACCAAAACAGAAAGCCAAAAAAAUGGAGUCAAAAAAAGAAAGAAGAUUCAGGAGGAUUCUAAUUCAGAAUCUGAAUCAACUGAUGAGUGAUAUUUUGAAAUUAUUACUCCUUUCCUUUAGGUUUAUUAUCAAGAUUUCAUGUAUUAACAGAGUGUCUCUGAUUAACUUAUAGAAGUGAAGAAUCAUCACAAGUGGAGAAGCAAAAAACAAAAAAAGACUCAGAGAAUACCAAAAAAGACACAAUCCAAAAAGGAAAAGACCAUUGUGCAGGAUUCAUCUCCUGAGCAAGCUCAAUCCUAUCAUGGAUCUGAAAUUGGAACUCAAGAAUUAGAUGCAUUCUUAAGGGAAAACAAUGAAAAAUCUGCUGCAUAGGGGUUUCUUGUUUCGCAGGAAGAAACAAGCUGACCUGCGAUCGACCGAAGGUCAUUAUGUCUCAUCUGAAACAAUAUCGGACGUAAACUUGGGAAGUGAUGAUCCUUCCUCUCAACGACACACAGAACAAAGUAGUGUAAACAAACCGGCAGAGAGCAUGUUGAGUCUGUUUGAAGAGAAUAUGAUGGUUGUGAGGGAAGAGACACAAUCUGAAUGGCUUGCAAUUUCCGAUUCAAGUUUGUCUACCACUGUCCCAAACAACAUCUAUACUGAAAAAUGAAAAAACACCCGAAAUAGAAAAUGAACCAACCCCUCUACUACAAAUUGAAGGAACUAAAAAAAGCACUCCUGAACUCCCCCAACAACUUGAAGAAAGCACACACACGCUUCCCCCAACUCUAUCUAAAAUUCCCAGAAGAUGCUGCUGCACUGAUGAUGAUGGCACGGACAGCAUCGUAUGUUCCUAAAGCAGAUCCGUUGCCAUCAUUCAGCCUUGGCUUGACUGAUUCAAGCCAAGAAAAAGCAGCAACGCAUGAGGGGGCAUCAACGCAAGAAGGAGGGAUGGAAAAAACUCCAGAAACCCCAAAGCUGCUAGAACAAUUAGGGAAUUUGGUGGAAAAAAUAGCAAACAGUGGGUGAAAGCAGAAAGUAAAAGUCUACAAAUUCAAAAGGAGAGUGGCGGAGAAAGUUAUGGAAAGUUUGAAACUCCUGCGAGAAUAAAUCAAAAUACGGCUGAGAUGAAAGAGAAGUGCUACAUCUGGGGGACGCGAUUGAAGAAAUACGCAGAUGGCAGAACUAAUGAGUUUGACAACGUGUGCACUCUGAUUGUCCAAGAUAAAUACAUUUUGACAAGAAUGCACCUUGCAUCACUCAAAUCAGAAAGUUAUAUAGAACCUGAGAUUGUAACUGCCAUGUGCCUCAUCCUCAACCAGAAAAAUGAUAAAAGGUUUCAAGAAGAGGUAUACUGUCUCCCCCCUGAUAUUGUGAACAUGGUCAUUGCGAAGCAUCCAAAGGGGGAAUUCAUAUCACCUAAAACCAAUAAAUAAUUUAGGGUGGAAGAAUACCCAAUGUUUAUUCCCUUCAUAAAUGCAAAAAAAUUAACAUCACAUCGAUAUAUUUUUGCAUCUAUUUGCCACUCAAACCAUUGGUGGUUAUGGCUGAUUGACACAAGAAAGUGGAGAUUUUAUAUACUUGACCCGGUACACACGAAAUGUCCAGCCGAUGACAGAAAGGAACUUAAUAAAUUCAUUGGAUAUGUAAUUUCAAGAAUGAGAGUAUAUGCUGGCGGGGCACCUCUGAAGAGAAAGGAGAAUGAGAAGAAAAUUAGAGCACCAUACGUUAACAUCUCAGGCCAAAAGGCAAGUUAUAACUGUGCUAUUUACAUUAUGAAGUGGCUUGAGUUAAUUGAGCCCGAAAACAUUAAAAGGGCAAAGUAUGAGUGGGAUAAUUGGACACAGGACGAGGUGGACCACUAUAGAGUAGAAUAUGCUUCCCGGGUACUAUUCAGUGAAAUGAAUAAAGACAGAGCUGAAGCAAUUAGAGGGAGUAAUGCAAUAAGACUGUCCAAGCCAUCCUCAGUAUUAUUGAGUCCAUUUUGUCACAUAGACUCUAAUGAUAUAGAAACUGAGUAAUGUAACUGCUAGUUAGUUUGUAAAUUGAACACAUGGUGUAAAA
This is a long non-coding RNA of Arachis stenosperma, 3120 nucleotides long. RefSeq lists it as uncharacterized. The transcript is spliced from 18 exons. NCBI's taxonomy places the organism in Eukaryota, Viridiplantae, Streptophyta, Magnoliopsida, Fabales, Fabaceae. The record is from RefSeq and is a predicted model, not a curated record.